AGAGUUUGAUCCUGGCUCAGGAUGAACGCUAGCUACAGGCUUAACACAUGCAAGUCGAGGGGAAACGUACAUCGAAAGCUUGCUUUUGAUAGGGCGUCGACCGGCGCACGGGUGAGUAACGCGUAUCCAACCUGCCCGACCACUUGGGGAUAACCUUGCGAAAGUAAGACUAAUACCCAAUGAUAUCUCUUAGAAGACAUCUGAAAGAGAUUAAAAGAUUUAUCGGUGAUGGAUGGGGAUGCGUCUGAUUAGCUUGUUGGCGGGGUAACGGCCCACCAAGGCAACGAUCAGUAGGGGUUCUGAGAGGAAGGUCCCCCACAUUGGAACUGAGACACGGUCCAAACUCCUACGGGAGGCAGCA
Molecule: ribosomal RNA, 361 nt
Filed under: uncultured bacterium
Lineage: Bacteria
Description: bacterial SSU rRNA
Rfam family: Bacterial small subunit ribosomal RNA
Source: RNAcentral